GGGAAUUGAGAGUAAUGGCCAAAAUGCCCUUAAGAUGUUUAAAAGCUUAGUUUUAAGUGGGAGGGCAAUAUGUUCUUUUGGUGUUUAGAAUCAGAGAUAAGGGUCAUGCUGCUUUAUUCCUUAGUGGAUUAUGUAGAAAGUUUUAGAAGACUGAAAAAAGGAAAAGAAAAGAAAAAGGAAAAGAAAAGAAGGAGAAAGGAAAGAAGGGAAAAGCAGGGCACUACUCUCUUGUACGGUUUUGGCUUUUCUUCACCAAUUUUUCUGGAAAUUUGGAGCUAAAAUUCAGAGAAGGCUUAGGCUAAGACUCAACACUAGGGUCCUUGAUUUUUCUUGGGGAAUUGGCAGAGGUUAUUCAUCCAUUUGAGGGGAUUAAGCCUAAGGAUUUGAGGAGGUGAAGGCUAAGGAAGUGUGGAAGAUAACCUAGGUCAAAUUCAUCUAUCAAAGGUAAAGGCAAGGGCAAGGUGGAUCAGUCCUGAGAUGGAGAACUUUGGGGCUGAAUGUACAUUGUCAGCUGAUUGGCCGCCACGACCGAGGAGUGGUACAGGACGAGAAAAACCUAAUUGUCUGUUUUGCCCUUAGAGUGGCUAGCAACUGUACUUUUAUCCUGAAAUUUUGUAAAGAGUCUUUUAACGCUACUACCUUUGGGAUCCCAUGUAAAAAUGUUUGGUUAUAAGAAACGAAACUUUUGAGACCGAGAUUUUUUAACCCUAGUUCAACUUUAGUUUCUGAAACACGUUUCUAACUAAACGGCUUGAUUAGCAAGUCUUACACAUUUGUAAACACACAGUGUAACGGUCUUGGCUAUCCAUGGCGAUACAUUUUAUCAAUGCACUUUGUUAUAUUAUAACCUA
Humulus lupulus (European hop) is the source of this 851-nucleotide long non-coding RNA. RefSeq lists it as uncharacterized. The record is from RefSeq and is a predicted model, not a curated record. The transcript is spliced from 3 exons. NCBI's taxonomy places the organism in Eukaryota, Viridiplantae, Streptophyta, Magnoliopsida, Rosales, Cannabaceae.